UACAGAGGUCUCAAGCGUUGUUCGGAUUCAUUGGGCGUAAAGGGUGCGUAGGCGGCGAGGCAAGUCUGGUGUGAAAUCCCGGGGCUCAACCCCGGAACUGCACUGGAUACUGCUUUGCUAGAGUACUGGAGAGGGAACUGGAAUUUACGGUGUAGCAGUGAAAUGCGUAGAUAUCAAGAGGAACACCUGAGGUGAAGACGGGUUGCUGGGCUGAUACUGACGCUGAGGCGCGAAAGCCAGGGGAGCGAACGGG
RNAcentral lists this ribosomal RNA (253 nucleotides) under uncultured bacterium. RNAcentral's name for it is "partial 16S ribosomal RNA". It matches the Rfam family "Bacterial small subunit ribosomal RNA", at positions 524 to 776 of the family's 1533-position model. The record is from RNAcentral.